UCUAACACUAUUAAUAAAUGCUAGGGCAGGUGGUGGCAUGGAGAGCCUGGAGCACAACAGCUGUCUUUAAAAGCUUUCCUUGCUGUACCCUUUGGAGCCACCUCCUGGUCCCCUCAACCCCUGCCCACCUGUUAAGAGCCCGUUCGGGGCAGCACAUUAGGGGGCAAACAGCCUGGAUGCCCAGUUGCAGACACACAUCCAUGCCUGGAGGAGAAGAUUGCGUCUGAGAGCAGGAGGAGCUGCUGGAACUCUUCUUCCCAGCCUUGUUUUAAUGCUCUUGAGCACCACCUGCACAGAGAUAUACCCCACCAGCAUUAGCACAAUAAACAGGCCCUGCAGCAGCAGGGCUGUGGUUCUAGUGAAUGAGAGAAGCCUCUCUCCAGCGAGGUACAGGAGUCCAGUCUGAAUGCCCUGGUCUCCGCCUCCAUGUUUGCCACCAUGCCCAGGACUAGGGGCAGCAUGGGAUCUGCUGGCUGGGGCUGUGCUUGUCACCCCCUCCCUCCCACUUCUCUCUCCAGCCACGUUUUCAGCUCCAGCAUUAAGGCCAGUGGCUACAGUAGGUGCCAUGAUUUCAGGCAGCUCCUGGCUGGGCUGGUCCUUGGCUGGAGCUCCCUCCACCUCCAGCGCUCUCUCUGGAGGGGGCUCUUCCCAUGCUGGCUUUGGCUCGACAGCCGGUGCCGCAAGUGCUGCUAUGUCUGCGUAUGGACCAGGAGCUGAAAAAGGAGAAAGGGUCACCAGCAUCAGUCACUUUCCACUGGAAUUUCCAAACACAGAGACAACCUCACUGAAUUCAAAGGAAUUCCACCCCAAAAGCACUGCCCCCGCAAAGUCUUCCAGGCUGCAGCCACCUCACCAUGUGUCUGUGCCUCCAUGGGCUCCCGAAUCUCCUCCUGGACAAGGACAAUGUACAGAGGCAGCCCCGAUGGGAUCUAUGGUGUGGCCUGGCCAGCUAGGGCCUGCCCCGGGCUGUCCUGUGGUACCUGGGUGCGCCUUCUUACAAAGGGCCACAGGCGUCUGGGGUGAGGGAUGAGCCUUCUUCGGCAUUGUCGGAAAAGGCUCUCACUCCCUCCAUUCCUGAAGCAGCAACCUCUCGAAGUGGGGAAGCAACACGAGAACAUCUUGCUCUCUUGAGCGUCUCCCACAAAGUGAGCUGGUUACAGCGCUGACUCUAGGAUAUGGGUGCCUGGUUACCAGAGUUCUAAGUUCUGUUCGUGUGUGUCAUCAUCGAGGAAGUGAGGUCGCUUCUUUACGGUUCUGUCCCCUAGGCCCCUUCCUUCCAUAAGACCUACUCAGGACUCCACUGGGCUGCUGACUACUCACCCUCCCCUCAGGUCAUCUCCUGACCCGUACACAGUUAUGUCCACCCAGGGUCUGCUUGGACACCUGUGCCUGAUGUUCACCAGGGGCCAGAUGUCGUCCUCAGGCCUGAUGUCCACCUAGGGCCUGAUGACUGCCUUGGCCUAUGUCCCUCUGGGGGCCUUGUGUUCACCUGGGGACUGUAUCCAGCUGGGGCCUGAUGGCCUACUGGGUCUUGUUGUUCACCUAAGGCCUUGUGUCCACCUGGGGACUGGUGAUCACCUGGGGCCUGGGUGUCCACCUGAGGCCAGAGGUGCACCUAAGGCCUGAGUUUUCACCUGGGCCUGAUGAUCACCUGGGGACUGGGUGUGUGCCUUGGGUCUUUUCCCUUUUCCUGAACAGGGCUUGCAGUUUCCAAACCAGACACAAUCUCCCAGUUGGAGAAAGAAAAAGGAUCCUAGAUGAUAGUGAGACAAAUUUCAGGAAACUCCAUCCAAAUAAGUAAAUGAGAAUGAGGACAGGAUUCAUUGUAAGUAACAUUCUCAGGUGGUGUUCCAAAGUUAUCUUUUGCCUGGGUACAGUGGCUCACACCUGUAAUCCCAGCUCUUUGGGAGCCCAAGGUGGGAGGAUCACUAGAGGCUAACAGUUUGAGACCAGCUUGGGCAAUGGAGUGAGACCCCCAUUCUGAAAAAAAAAAUUAAAAAAUUUAACAGGCAUGGUGGCAUGUGCCUGCAGUCCCAGCUACUCAAGAGGCUGAGGUGGGAGGAUCGCUUGAACUCAGGAGUUGAAGGCUGCAGUGGGUGAGGAUCACAACACUGAAUUCCAGCUGAGGUGACAGAAUGAGACCCUGUCUCUCUAAAAAACAAGCAAGCAAACAAACCAAAAACCACAGACAAACCAGACCCCUCUUAGCAGAAUACUUCCAUGAGGUAAUAAAAGCUUCACAGGUCCACAAGUUGAAAGUGUACCCCCAGGAGCUGCACUAAAUGAUUUGUACCCAUCUGCACCUGAUUUAGAACGUUUAGAAGGAGCUGUUUCAGGCCUCCUCCUCCUCCCGUAAUAACUUGCAGUCUUUCCUAUGUUAUAAUAAAGCUACAUUUUCUUCUGAAAACUGGCAGGUUCUCCCUUCCUAACGCAGGCAGCCGAAGAGAGGGUGUCAGGAGCCAGAGGGUGUCAAGAGCAGCCAGGGCACACCGGCCUGCAUGGGGGCAUCCCUGGUCCAAGUCAGUGGCCAGAGCUGCAGCCUGGCUUUGUGCCCAAAGUUUUGUCUGGGUGUCAGGAAGGCCAUGCACUCACAUUUCAUCUCUUUUUGUGACUGGUCUGCUGCUGGUUGACCCUCGUUCCUCCUUUUUUGGGCAGGAAGGUGACAUCCAGGAUUCAGGAGAGCCUUCUGACUUGGGUGUGCAUGAAAGUCACCUGAGGCCCUUGACGUGCAGGAAUCCUUGCCAGCCUUGGAUUGCAAGCCCCAGGCUAUGGUAUAGCAAUGUGCAUUUUGUAGCAAGCUCCCUGCGUGAUUGGAGAGUCACAAAUGGAAAGAAAUACUAUAAUCAGUGGAGAGAAGAUGUGCACAGCUAUACAAGUGUAUGGUUCUGUGACAUACCACGAGGUGGGGGUGGACCUUUAUGACAUCUUCUCCCAGCAACCCCACAUAUUUCCCUUGCCCUCAGUGGGUCAGGAGUCUCCUGCUUGGCCUCAUCUUCGAAUCUGAAGCCUCUGAGUUCUGAAUAGUUCAGCCCCCUACUUUUUUAGAUGCCUCUGUGGCAAACCUUUGUUAUCUGACUUUUCUUUUAUUUGACAGAGCCUCGCUCUGUCGCCCAGGUUGGAGUGCAGUGGUGUGAUCUCGGCUGACUGCAAGUCCCGCCUCCUGGGUUCACGCCAUUCUCCUGCCUCAGCCUCCUGAGUAGCUGGGGACUACAGGCGCCUGCUACCACGCCCAGCUAAUUUUUUGUACUUUUAGUAGAGACGGGGUUUCACCGUGUUAGCCAGGAUUGUCUGGAUCUCCUGACCUCGUAAUCCACCCACCUGGCCUCCCAAAGUGCUAGGAUUACAGGUGUGAGCCACGGCGCCCUGAGGACUGGCAGACCCAUCUGACUUUCUUGGAGUAGAGGAGGAAGAGGAGGAAGAAGAGGUGCAGGAGGAAGACCAGGUAGGAGGGCUGGCGGGGCCACGGCACUCCCCACCAUUGACUGCCCCAGAGGGUGACUCCAGAGGGUACCUGGUGCUAGAGCCCACCUGGGGGUGGCAGGUCCCAGUGUUUUUUUGUGAGUUCCUUCAUAGAGGUUUGAAGGUUCCUGAGGACCGCGUUGUCCUCCAGGGCCCAGCUCUGAGAGAGUCGCUCCUGAAACUCCCAGACAGUGCUCCAGGAAAGCUUCAUGAGGUGCUCUAGGGAGAGGGCGGGCAUCAGGCCAGGAGGGUUCCCUGGGAGGGGACAGUGCCUGCACCCCAUUUCUACCAGGCCCACCUCCCACUGGGUGGUGUCUGGUCCUUUUUGGCCACCCUGGGGUUCAGCUGUGCACAGGAGGCUACAGUUGGGGAAGGCAGGGCAGGGAAGUGCUCACCACACUCCUGAUUUUCAUCUGGGUCAUGUGGGGGAUGGACUCAGUGUCAUCAUGACUUGCCCAGCCCAGCAGGCCAGACCCCCCAACCCGGAUGGAGCAGGCAGUGUAAGGACACUUCCCUCAGGCCAGCCGGGGUCUGUCCCACAUGUUCCCCCAAGCACCCUCGGGCACACGGGACUUACUCCUGUGUAUUUUGAAUGAUGCAUGCACCAUGGCUGUCAGUACCCGCGCGCCCUCCAAGAUGAACACAUCCCACAGUCUCAGGGUGAGCCCGAAGGAUUUCUGUGGGGACAGCAAGUGUGGGAGAACCUGGCCUUUCCAAGCUGGGGCCAGUGGCCUGAGCAGAGCCCACUGGGGUUUCAGGCCCCUGGAGUGCUGGGGACCCCUCUCCAUGGGAUGAGACCCCCAAAAGACUGAGUCAGACAAGGUCCUGUAGCUCCUUGUGAGGGACUCAUCUCAACUGCGCUGUGGCUUCUGGAAAGAGGGCUUCCUGAGGACUUGGGCUUCCCUGGGCCCUCGCAAGUCGGGUCCUGCCCCAGUCUGCCCAUGAGGCUGGGCCUGAGCCCUGGCCUCUGCCAUGGGAUGCCCCCUCUUGGGCAGAGCCUGGCUUGUGAGCCUGUCCUCCUGGGGGAGCUGGACCCCUGAGCUGAGGAAGCUGGGCACUGCAGGGCAGGAGAGUCCCAGGGCUGGGGUCUCCCUGUGCCUCCUUACCCCAUCAAGGAAACACCGGAGGAGCCUCGUCAGCAUGGAACCCUCAAUGCACAGCCCUUCCUUGCCCUGAAGGGAGGAGCACACGUGCUCAGGGCCCCCUGGGCUGCCCUGAAAUCCUCCCACUUCCAGGCCCCUCUGCAGACCUUCCUUAAUGGCACAACCCAGGGCGGUGGCCAGGGCUCCAACACCUGCCCCAUGCACGGACGCCCGGUGGACACACUUCUUUUAGCCCUGCUCAGCUGCAGCUCGGCCCUGGUCCCAGCGCCUCUGCCUUUGCCAGGGCAGGAAAAGGAAACCCAACGCUGAAUCCAUGGGGAAUCCCCAUCCCAGGUCAGGCCGUGGCUGGGACUCAGCCUCUUGCCAGCCCCAUGAGGGACUUGAGCCUCCCCUGGCCUAUGGGGGCCAGGGCGUCUGGUUAGGAGCUGAGGGUGUCAUCCACUCACCAGGUGUCUCAUGAUCUUUGGGAAGGACUUGUGCAGCACCUGCUCCUGGUGCGAUAGGAGCCUCUCGAGCCAGGCAGUAUUUGGGCUGUAGAAUACUGAGAAGCCCGCGACCCAUCACCCCAUCAGACCCCACGCCCAAAAUGUGGAGGCAUCAGCUGGAAGAGCUGGGCAGGGCAGGGGACCCCAGACCCCGAGGCCUCCCUCCCUCCCAUGUGGUGACCCCAGCAUGUAGCCUCAGCCCUGGGGAGGAGGUCCCUGGCUGGAGGCACUGCCUAGCGGCCUCCUGGGUCCAGGUGCCAGGAGGGCAGCCUGCAUUUGACACCACAAGGCAGGCGCCAGCGGGGAGAACAGGGUGGGAGCUGGGGGCUAUGUGGCUAUCUCUUGGAUGUGGGGGUCAGGCUGGGGGACAUGGGAUGGGCAGACACUUCCAUCUUGGCUUUGUUGGCCCAUCUGUAGGGAGGGAGGGUGGCUGGGAGCACAGCCAGCUGGGAGGCAGGAAGACACUCAGGGAGGUGAGUGGUGCCUGCACAAAGUUGGGGCUGGCUUCGGACGACAGAGGGCAGCCAGGGGGAGGUAUCCAUGCCCUCUGAUGUUAGGGAUGAAAGCCGUCUGACUUGAGGUGAGGGGGUUCCUGUCCAGACCCAGGCUGCUGUAGGACCUCAGCAGGGACAUCCUGGAGGCUCCAAACAAGCUGGGAUACAAGGCAGGCACCUUGCCUGGAAGUCAGGGUCACCGGCCAGGGUGGCUGUCCCCUGGCAUGGCUGUGUAAGGCCCCGGGGGCAGCUGUCCACCUACCCACAGGGAGUGCCUCUCACCAGCGAGCAACUGGGUAAGCGCCCAGAAAGCAUCUUCCUCUGGCAGACACAGGAGGAGGAUGGCAGUGAUGCGGCUCAGGUCCCUGUGGUAGCCCACCUCCUGCAAGAGCCAGAGUCACCGUGGAAAGAUGUCACCUAGGAGGACUGAGGCCACCUGGGAGGACUUAUGUCACCAGAGGUGGCACAGGUCUUUGGGGACACCUGCCUCAGGCCCCAGGGGAUUUGAGGUGCAGCCUCUGCACCCCUCCCCUGGCACUGGACAUGAGGACUGAGCAGGUCACGCACAACUCAGUUGACAAGGAGCAUGGGGGGACUCCUGCAGCAAGUGUCCAAGCUCACAUGGCCCGAAAGGGCACAGUCAGGGAUUGUUCAUGCUCCCUCCCCUGGGCCAGGCUGGGGAGGCCACUGUGCCAGGCCUGGGGCAGCACCUGUGAACUGCACCUGCCACGAGGGCAGGCAGCGGGGCGCUGACCACCACACAAAAGGUCCUGCAACAGCCCAAGGGCUGCCUGCCGGACAUAAGGGGUGGCUGGGUCCUCCAUGUGGGCAGCUCAUGCAGUCAGCUCAGCAGCUCUCCCUGCCUGGAAUGGUCUGGAAAGUGGGGGCCAAGCAGGAACAGCCACCUGGGUGACCCCCCUCCCUAUCUGCUAUGCUCCUAUGGGGUUCAGGCAAAGGGGAAAUUGGAUCCUUGCCAGGUUUCCAGUGAAGAAGAGGCUCCCCCAGGAUGCAAACUCAUUUCAUGACAAGUGCCUGGCCCAUCAGGCACCUCAGCAACUUGUCAAACCUGUCUCCUACAAGGACCAUCCUGUGUGGGACCCUGCCAAGCUCCUAGGCUUUGGGGCAACACCAGGAGGGGAAGGUCGUUUCUUCAUCUGAGACGUGGUGAUUGGGUCCAUGUGACACCAGGAGUCUGGGCUUCAGCCCUUUUCUGCCAGCAGCGAGCUGAAGUCCUGCCUACUACGUCCUGGUGGACAAACACUGAAUUUUCAAGAAGUUGCAACACCCCCAAGAGACACCCAUGCCUGUGAAUAUGGGCACAUGUCCCAGGAAUAUCGCUGCCCGGGAAUACUCACAGGGUUAUAUGCAGAAUAGGCCACGAGGAUGUCACAUAAUUCCUGCUGCCUAG
This 6949-nucleotide long non-coding RNA is filed under the name Homo sapiens (human). RNAcentral describes it as "non-protein coding lnc-TRIM16-2:2". The record is from RNAcentral. Lineage: Eukaryota; Metazoa; Chordata; Mammalia; Primates; Hominidae.